CCCUUAGAUGUCCUGGGCUGCACGCGCGCUACACUGGAAGUUACGGAUUGAGAUACUACCUUGUCCGAAAUGGUCCGGGUAAUCACCUAAAAGCUUGUCAUAAUUGGAAUGGAUUAUUGUAACUAGUAAUCCUGAACGAGGAAUUCCUAGUAAGUCCCAGUCAACAGCUGGUACUGAUUACGUCCCUGCCCUUUGUACACACCGCCCGUCGCUACUACUGAUUGGACGUUUAAGCAAGAUUUUUAAACACUGACAGUGUGUAGUUCACGCUAUACUACAGUGAGAAGAAGAAGAUCGAGCUUACUUGUUUAGAGGAAGUAAAAGUCGUAACA
Molecule: ribosomal RNA, 332 nt
Filed under: uncultured eukaryote
Lineage: Eukaryota
Description: partial 18S ribosomal RNA
Rfam family: Eukaryotic small subunit ribosomal RNA
Source: RNAcentral